This 497-nucleotide ribosomal RNA is filed under the name uncultured bacterium. Its description in RNAcentral is "partial 16S ribosomal RNA". It matches the Rfam family "Bacterial small subunit ribosomal RNA", at positions 28 to 507 of the family's 1533-position model. The record is from RNAcentral.
GAUGAACGCUGGCGGCGUGCCUAAUACAUGCAAGUCGAGCGAACAGAUAAGGAGCUUGCUCCUUUGACGUUAGCGGCGGACGGGUGAGUAACACGUGGGUAACCUACCUAUAAGACUGGGAUAACUUCGGGAAACCGGAGCUAAUACCGGAUAAUAUUUCGAACCGCAUGGUUCGAUAGUGAAAGAUGGUUUUGCUAUCACUUAUAGAUGGACCCGCGCCGUAUUAGCUAGUUGGUAAGGUAACGGCUUACCAAGGCGACGAUACGUAGCCGACCUGAGAGGGUGAUCGGCCACACUGGAACUGAGACACGGUCCAGACUCCUACGGGAGGCAGCAGUAGGGAAUCUGCGGCAAUGGGCGAAAGCCUGACGGAGCAACGCCGCGUGAGUGAUGAAGGUCUUCGGAUCGUAAAACUCUGUUAUUAGGGAAGAACAGACGUGUAAGUAACUGUGCACGUCUUGACGGUACCGAAGCAGAAAGCCACGGCUAACUACGUG